AAACGGAUGAAGGUGAUUAAAUGGUACUCACCAUUCCUGAGGGUCAGACUAAUGGUCAGCAGGCGUCAUUCACAGUUUUCAAGAGGCUGGUUCCAGGAUUUUGAUUUACGCCUUUUGGCAACGUGCAGAGGAUUGUUACUGCCUGCUGGGUUUUAGACCACAGAGACAUACCAAGUGAUUUCCCACCCGUGCACCACCCUGUGGAAUUCCUGGCAGUGAUGUGCAGUCAGCACCAAAGACAGGCUUCACUCGCCUCAGCUGCAGCAGAUGAGCUUCAUCGGAGGACGCUGCACCGUUGCUGGGAUGCCUGCUUGUGUAUAGCCAUAGUCAGGAAAUGUCACUGUUGGCAUCUGACGAAGGCUAGUGUGCCAACCCAAGCGUGCCUCCUAGCCACCUGCGGCCCAACCUCCUGUGCUGCAGACACUGGCUCGCUUGUUUGUUCACCAACCAUUCCCUGCCAUUCCCCUCCAAAGUCAGCCUGUCUGGCCUGCCCUGAGCUUGUGAAAGAUCAAUCAGCUGGAGAGCCCAGAGAGAAUCCACGCACACUUAAGAAGAACAGGCCAACUGGGUGCAGAAAGGCCCCAGAUUUGAUUCAAAUCGACUCUCCCCUCUUGCUGUGAGGUGCCAGUGCUAACCGCUGCAGUACUUAAACAGAUGGGUGAUAUUAACUUUUUUUAAGGGCCAGACUAUGGAGACAAGGAAGUUUGCAUUAAGGUACGGUUCAGAGAUAAAGCUCCAGGCAUUCAUACUCCUAAUGCUUAAUUUAUACUACCACAGUCGGGUCUGUUUUGCAGUGGUAUUUGCCUACAGACAGCCAACUGAAAGGGGUGGUCAACUAAACCAAACAUGCUCCCAAAUGCACAUUCCUCAUCAUGGAUGAUAGUGUGCAUGUUAUUUUUACACGGUGUCGUACCAAAAUCAAAAAUAAAUAAAUAAAAGAAGAAGAAAAAGUUAAUAAAAUGUUGAAAGAACUGUGAUAUUCAGAUUCAGUCAUUUAUGCAAAAGGAAGAAAGUAAAGUAGAUCAAGUUAAUCUGGUGUUUUGAGUUUUUAAGCACGAUGCCUACAGGACCGAGUCUACACUCUUUAUAUUAUGGCAAAAACAUACAAAAGAUUAUCACAACUAAUUAUUCUUUAAAGAAGGAGGAUAUUUUUACUCAUUAUUCGCAACAUAAACCACUUGCUUGUUGCAUCCGGUCAUUUAUAGACUGUUAAAGAUACAUUCAAAUGUGUUUUUAUCCACGGUUGACAUACUGACACCAUAAAACUGGGCUUCUAUUACUAGCCAGAGAUCCAUCAUGGAGACCAAAGUCAGUUGUGGGAGACGCUGUUUUGUUCCAAAAGCAGGAUAGCUUUGAGAAGACACAGAGAGCCUUGUUAUGUCUCUUUCUCUGACUCUCCCACUGCUCACAUAGGGCUGGUUUUGAGUAAACCCUCUUAUUGUUGCCACCAGCCCCCUCUUCACCCACAUUUCCAUUUAUAUCCCAUUUUCCACUUCAUUUCCAUGCUAAUUUCAGGAGACAAAAAAAUCCCAUGUUAUGUCAUUUAUAGGGCUGCAGCUGGUUUAUCUAUCCGUACAAGGGGAAAACCAGUGGGGCUGGCCUCGGGGCAUGGGCUCCCCUUC
Long non-coding RNA from Oreochromis niloticus (Nile tilapia), 1622 nucleotides. RefSeq lists it as uncharacterized. NCBI's taxonomy places the organism in Eukaryota, Metazoa, Chordata, Actinopteri, Cichliformes, Cichlidae. The transcript has 4 exons. The record is from RefSeq and is a predicted model, not a curated record.